CACACCUGUUAUUGAUUACCCUUUGGGUAUUCUUUUGAGCACUUAUCCGCAUCUUACUUUCCUUGUUUUCAUGGUGGAUUUGGUGGAUUUUUUUUUUACUUGGACAUUAGUUUGGAAGGCUGCUGAGCUCUAAACCCUCGUCCCCGUUUGAAUUCACAGCCCUAGCUGCGCACUGGACCCUGGAGCCUGCCUGGAAGUAGACCGAGUCCAGUGUGAUCAUCUUUGAGGAUGUAAAGAAGGUGUCAAAGUCCACCUCCCUCAUGGGACUGGUGACACCAUCGGGACCAGCUGGGGCACUGAUGAGCCAGCGGUAGCGGUUUGACUCACUGUGACACAGAUGACGGGGUAGCCAGCUGGUGGGUGGAGGUUGUCUGGCGUUCUGGCGACGUCGUCGUAAUGGAGCAGCGACACCACAUGUGGCAGGGAGGGGAAGGUGACGUCAGCCAUGCUGUUUGUCUCCUCGAUGUACACUAUCACUUUGGUCACCUGUGCCAGAAAAGAGGAUUUGGACUGAUGACAACAAAUGACACCGCACUGUUUGUGAAUCAGGACACUGAAUUAAAAUGACUAAACCCAACGCAGCGUUUACAAUCUCACA
This is a long non-coding RNA of Notolabrus celidotus (New Zealand spotty), 598 nucleotides long. RefSeq lists it as uncharacterized. Lineage: Eukaryota; Metazoa; Chordata; Actinopteri; Labriformes; Labridae. The record is from RefSeq and is a predicted model, not a curated record. The transcript is spliced from 3 exons.